GCUCAGAGGUCUAGUGGCAAAUAAACUCGCAAACAUAGUAUCCUUAUAAAUUAUUCCCGUGUGCCUGCCACAAGCACUUUACGAGAAUAGAGUUCAAUCAAACAGAUAAGCAAGCAUGACAAUGGUAUUGAUGAAAUUAGAAUCAAUGAGAGAUGUGCGGAACUAGCUAGUACUACUUAUUUUAGGAUGCGUAAAUCACAGCUUCUUCUUCUCUAGACUCGAAACCAUUCCGGUGAAUUUAUUCCAAAUCCUUCCCAGCCAAUAAAAUGAUUACUUAAUUUCAGGAAAUGAACGAAAGUUGCCGAUAUGAUGUGAUAAUGAUUGAACUUACUUCUGGAGCAUUUCACUCAUGUCCGACCACUCCUUAGCCUCUUUACGUCUCGAGUCUAAGAUAAUUGCUACUCCCACGUCAAGCUUAAUGGAUAGCAAAAUAAAGUGGAACCUGCGCACGCAUAACUCAUCAAUUACACUUAAUGUCGUGUAAGCGAAACCGAAUAUGCACUAAGACAGUAACACUCACUUGAAGUUGUAAGGAAAGAGUAUUUCCCUUUUGUUUUGAUGUCGAAGGAACGCGUUUAGCAAGUUUUCCUCAAUAUGUUUGGCUCUGUUUUGUACCGCCCAUUCAUUUACGGUAUUUGGGCUAAUGAACCCAACAUCAUAGAUUUGUCCUCUUUUGCACCCGACGAUCUUCAAU
RNAcentral lists this long non-coding RNA (694 nucleotides) under Triticum aestivum (bread wheat). Its description in RNAcentral is "long non-coding RNA (TAES_LNC020158)". Lineage: Eukaryota; Viridiplantae; Streptophyta; Magnoliopsida; Poales; Poaceae. The record is from RNAcentral.